UUCCUACGGGAGGCUGCAGUAAGGAAUAUUGGUCAAUGGGCGCAAGCCUGAACCAGCCAUGCCGCGUGCAGGAAGACGGCCCUAUGGGUUGUAAACUGCUUUUGUACGGGAAAAAACCUCCGGUCGUGAACCGGAGCUGAUGGUACCGUAAGAAUAAGCAUCGGCUAACUCCGUGCCAGCAGCCGCGGUAAUACGGAGGAUGCAAGCGUUAUCCGGAUUCAUUGGGUUUAAAGGGUGCGCAGGCGGAACGAUAAGUCAGUGGUGAAAUCCUGCAGCUUAACUGCAGAACUGCCAUUGAUACUGCCGUUCUUGAGUAUAGUUGAAGUGGGCGGAAUGUGUCAUGUAGCGGUGAAAUGCUUAGAUAUGACACAGAACACCGAUCGCGAAGGCAGCUCGCUAAGCUAUAACUGACGCUCAUGCACGAAAGCGUGGGGAUCAAACAGGAUUAGAUACCCUGGUAGUC
This 463-nucleotide ribosomal RNA is filed under the name uncultured Bacteroidales bacterium. RNAcentral describes it as "bacterial SSU rRNA". It matches the Rfam family "Bacterial small subunit ribosomal RNA", at positions 336 to 795 of the family's 1533-position model. The record is from RNAcentral. Lineage: Bacteria; Pseudomonadati; Bacteroidota; Bacteroidia; Bacteroidales.